GUUUGUAUGUGGUGCUGAGGAUCGAACCCGGGCCGCACGCAUGCCAGGCGAGUGUGCUACCGCUUGAGCCACAUCCCCAGCCCAGUGGAAGGGUUUUGAAGUGGGGUUUACUUCUCUUGUCUCUCCUAGGGUCAUCUGUGCUUGAAUAUUGAGAAGCCACCACCAUCAGCGGAUCCACAGAGACUCCAUCAGCUUUGGCUUCUUGGGAACUGGUAUUCUGGGGGCAGGGUCUGACCAGCAUGCAACAUAAUCCUUUCUCCAUUUUUUCCACAUUUGGGGCAGUUAAGACCAGCUGUGAAAUGCCCUGAGAAUGGGGAUGUGUUUGGAGAGGCUGCUGUGGGACACCAAAUGGAGCUAAAACUUGUCUGGAACUGCACUGUCCAAUAUGGUAGCCACUAACACUUUUGGUUAUGAAGCACUUGGUCUGUGGCCGCUCCAAGCUGAGAAAUGCUGUGAGGGUAAAAUACACACCACAUUUCAAAGACUUAUCACUUAAAAAAAGAAUAUACAUCGUCUCAUUAAUAUUUUAAAUAUUGACUAUAUGCUGAUAAAAUAUUUUGGAUAUUUG
RNAcentral lists this long non-coding RNA (568 nucleotides) under Marmota monax (woodchuck). The record is from RNAcentral. Lineage: Eukaryota; Metazoa; Chordata; Mammalia; Rodentia; Sciuridae.